RNAcentral lists this ribosomal RNA (497 nucleotides) under uncultured bacterium. Its description in RNAcentral is "partial 16S ribosomal RNA". It matches the Rfam family "Bacterial small subunit ribosomal RNA", at positions 28 to 507 of the family's 1533-position model. The record is from RNAcentral.
GAUGAACGCUGGCGGCGUGCCUAAUACAUGCCAGUCGAGCGAACGGACGAGAAGCUUGCUUUUCUGAUGUUAGCGGCGGACGGGUGAGUAACACGUGGAUAACCUACCUAUAAGACUGGGAUAACUUCGGGAAACCGGAGCUAAUACCGGAUAAUAUUUUGAACCGCAUGGUUCAAAAGUGAAAGACGGUCUUGCUGUCACUUAUAGAUGGAUCCGCGCUGCAUUAGCUAGUUGGUAAGGUAACGGCUUACCGAGGCAACGAUGCAUAGCCGACCUGAGAGGGUGAUCGGCCACACUGGAACUGAGACACGGUCCAGACUCCUACGGGAGGCAGCAGUAGGGAAUCUUCCGCAAUGGGCGAAAGCCUGACGGAGCAACGCCGCGUGAGUGAUGAAGGUCUUCGGAUCGUAAAACUCUGUUAUUAGGGAAGAACAUAUGUGUAAGUAACUGUGCACAUCUUGACGGUACCUAAUCAGAAAGCCACGGCUAACUACGUG